This 220-nucleotide unclassified non-coding RNA is filed under the name uncultured Actinomycetes bacterium. RNAcentral's name for it is "uncultured actinobacterium contains 16S-23S intergenic spacer region". Lineage: Bacteria; Bacillati; Actinomycetota; Actinomycetes. The record is from RNAcentral.
UCCGAGUUGACCCCGGCAGUCUCCUAUGAGUCCCCGGCUUGAACCGCUGGCAACAUAGGACAAGGGUUGCGCUCGUUGCGGGACUUAACCCAACAUCUCACGACACGAGCUGACGACAGCCAUGCAACACCUGUGUAGGGCCCUUGCGGACACCGUGUCUCCACGGCUUUUCCCUACAUGUCAAGCCCUGGUAAGGUGGGGAUGACGUUUACGUGCACUU